GGUUAAGCGACUAAGCGUACACGGUGGAUGCCCUGGCAGUCAGAGGCGAUGAAGGACGUGCUAAUCUGCGAAAAGCGUCGGUAAGGUGAUAUGAACCGUUAUAACCGGCGAUGUCCGAAUGGGGAAACCCAGUGCAAUUCGUUGCACUAUCGUUAACUGAAUACAUAGGUUAACGAGGCGAACCGGGGGAACUGAAACAUCUAAGUACCCCGAGGAAAAGAAAUCAACCGAGAUUCCCCCAGUAGCGGCGAGCGAACGGGGAGCAGCCCAGAGUCUGAAUCAGCUUGUGUGUUAGUGGAACGGUCUGGAAAGUCCGACGGUACAGGGUGAUAGUCCCGUACACCAAAAUGCACAGGUUGUGAACUCGAAGAGUAGGGCGGGACACGUGGUAUCCUGUCUGAAUAUGGGGGGACCAUCCUCCAAGGCUAAAUACUCCUGACUGACCGAUAGUGAACCAGUACCGUGAGGGAAAGGCGAAAAGAACCCCGGCGAGGGGAGUGAAAAAGAACCUGAAACCGUGUACGUACAAGCAGUGGGAGCACCUUCGGGUGUGACUGCGUACCUUUUGUAUAAUGGGUCAGCGACUUAUAUUCUGUAGCAAGGUUAACCGUAUAGGGGAGCCGCAGGGAAACCGAGUCUUAACUGGGCGUUAAGUUGCAGGGUAUAGACCCGAAACCCGGUGAUCUAGCCAUGGGCAGGUUGAAGGUUGGGUAACACUAACUGGAGGACCGAACCGACUAAUGUUGAAAAAUUAGCGGAUGACUUGUGGCUGGGGGUGAAAGGCCAAUCAAACCGGGAGAUAGCUGGUUCUCCCCGAAAGCUAUUUAGGUAGCGCCUCGUGAACUCAUCUUCGGGGGUAGAGCACUGUUUCGGCUAGGGGGUCAUCCCGACUUACCAACCCGAUGCAAACUACGAAUACCGAAGAAUGUUAUCACGGGAGACACACGGCGGGUGCUAACGUCCGUCGUGAAGAGGGAAACAACCCAGACCGCCAGCUAAGGUCCCAAAGUCAUGGUUAAGUGGGAAACGAUGUGGGAAGGCACAGACAGCCAGGAUGUUGGCUUAGAAGCAGCCAUCAUUUAAAGAAAGCGUAAUAGCUCACUGGUCGAGUCGGCCUGCGCGGAAGAUGUAACGGGGCUAAACCAUGCACCGAAGCUGCGGCAGCGACACUAUGUGUUGUUGGGUAGGGGAGCGUUCUGUAAGCCUGCGAAGGUGUGCUGUGAGGCAUGCUGGAGGUAUCAGAAGUGCGAAUGCUGACAUAAGUAACGAUAAAGCGGGUGAAAAGCCCGCUCGCCGGAAGACCAAGGGUUCCUGUCCAACGUUAAUCGGGGCAGGGUGAGUCGACCCCUAAGGCGAGGCCGAAAGGCGUAGUCGAUGGGAAACAGGUUAAUAUUCCUGUACUUGGUGUUACUGCGAAGGGGGGACGGAGAAGGCUAUGUUAGCCGGGCGACGGUUGUCCCGGUUUAAGCAUGUAGGCUGGUUAUCCAGGCAAAUCCGGAUAAUCAAGGCUGAGGUGUGAUGACGAGGCACUACGGUGCUGAAGUAACAAAUGCCCUGCUUCCGGGAAAAGCCUCUAAGCAUCAGGUAACAUCAAAUCGUACCCCAAACCGACACAGGUGGUCAGGUAGAGAAUACCAAGGCGCUUGAGAGAACUCGGGUGAAGGAACUAGGCAAAAUGGUGCCGUAACUUCGGGAGAAGGCACGCUGGUGUGUAGGUGAAGUCCCUGCGGAUGGAGCUGAGACCAGUCGAAGAUACCAGCUGGCUGCAACUGUUUAUUAAAAACACAGCACUGUGCAAACACGAAAGUGGACGUAUACGGUGUGACGCCUGCCCGGUGCCGGAAGGUUAAUUGAUGGGGUUAUCCGUAAGGAGAAGCUCUUGAUCGAAGCCCCGGUAAACGGCGGCCGUAACUAUAACGGUCCUAAGGUAGCGAAAUUCCUUGUCGGGUAAGUUCCGACCUGCACGAAUGGCGUAAUGAUGGCCAGGCUGUCUCCACCCGAGACUCAGUGAAAUUGAACUCGCUGUGAAGAUGCAGUGUACCCGCGGCAAGACGGAAAGACCCCGUGAACCUUUACUAUAGCUUGACACUGAACAUUGAGCCUUGAUGUGUAGGAUAGGUGGGAGGCUUUGAAGCGUGGACGCCAGUCUGCGUGGAGCCAACCUUGAAAUACCACCCUUUAAUGUUUGAUGUUCUAACGUUGGCCCCUGACCGGGGUUGCGGACAGUGUCUGGUGGGUAGUUUGACUGGGGCGGUCUCCUCCCAAAGCGUAACGGAGGAGCACGAAGGUUAGCUAAUCCUGGUCGGACAUCAGGAGGUUAGUGCAAUGGCAUAAGCUAGCUUGACUGCGAGCGUGACGGCGCGAGCAGGUGCGAAAGCAGGUCAUAGUGAUCCGGUGGUUCUGAAUGGAAGGGCCAUCGCUCAACGGAUAAAAGGUACUCCGGGGAUAACAGGCUGAUACCGCCCAAGAGUUCAUAUCGACGGCGGUGUUUGGCACCUCGAUGUCGGCUCAUCACAUCCUGGGGCUGAAGUAGGUCCCAAGGGUAUGGCUGUUCGCCAUUUAAAGUGGUACGCGAGCUGGGUUUAGAACGUCGUGAGACAGUUCGGUCCCUAUCUGCCGUGGGCGCUGGAGAAUUGAGGGGGGCUGCUCCUAGUACGAGAGGACCGGAGUGGACGCAUCACUGGUGUUCGGGUUGUCAUGCCAAUGGCACUGCCCGGUAGCUAAAUGCGGAAGAGAUAAGUGCUGAAAGCAUCUAAGCACGAAACUUGCCCCGAGAUGAGUUCUCCCUGAGACUAUAAGUCUCCUGAAGGAACGUUAAAGACGAUGACGUUGAUAGGCCGGGUGUGUAAGCGCAGCGAUGCGUUGAGCUAACCGGUACUAAUGAACCGUGAGGCUUAACCUU
This 2902-nucleotide ribosomal RNA is filed under the name Klebsiella pneumoniae. RNAcentral's name for it is "23S ribosomal RNA". It matches the Rfam family "Bacterial large subunit ribosomal RNA". Lineage: Bacteria; Pseudomonadati; Pseudomonadota; Gammaproteobacteria; Enterobacterales; Enterobacteriaceae. The record is from RNAcentral.